AUUGAACGCUGGCGGCAGGCCUAACACAUGCAAGUCGAGCGGAUGAAGGAGCUUGCUCCUGAUUCAGCGGCGGACGGGUGAGUAAUGCCUAGGAAUCUGCCUAUUAGUGGGGGAUAACUCGGGGAAACUCGGGCUAAUACCGCAUACGUCCUACGGGAGAAAGUGGGGGAUCUUCGGACCUCACGCUAAUAGAUGAGCCUAGGUCGGAUUAGCUAGUUGGUGAGGUAACGGCUCACCAAGGCGACGACCCGUAGCUGGUCUGAGAGGAUGAUCAGCCACACUGGAACUGAGACACGGUCCAGACUCCUACGGGAGGCAGCAGUGGGGAAUAUUGGACAAUGGGCGAAAGCCUGAUCCAGCCAUGCCGCGUGUGUGAAGAAGGUCUUCGGAUUGUAAAGCACUUUAAGUUGGGAGGAAGGUCUGUAAGCUAAUACCUUGCAGUCUUGACGUUACCAACAGAAUAAGCACCGGCUAACUCUGUGCCAGCCGCCGCGGUAA
This 498-nucleotide ribosomal RNA is filed under the name uncultured bacterium. RNAcentral describes it as "partial 16S ribosomal RNA". It matches the Rfam family "Bacterial small subunit ribosomal RNA", at positions 30 to 523 of the family's 1533-position model. The record is from RNAcentral.